AAGUUCUUGCUGCCGGAGGAGGCAGAAUUGUCCCUUCAAGACGAAGCAGGCGAGGUGGAUGAAGAAGUCCUGCAAAUUCUUCUCGAACAGGCCACCACCCUCAAUCUUAUCUUCUAUGUGAAAGGAGAAGACACAGGAGCGACAACAUUUGAAGUCGUGAUCUUAUGUUAGCUCAACCUCGACUUCAAUUUUCCAUAGUGAACAGGACGGGAAUUUAUUCAAACAGGUGCUGAACAAUUUUCUGGAAGAAAAUCAACAACUUUCUGCCGUCGUUUCCGAUUGCAACAAAAAUGGUUUCGUUGAUUCCAGUUCUUCUUCCUACUUAAUUAAGGAAUUUGUUGAAAAACUUGUUCAGUAUAAAGGCGAGACUCCGCCUACAAAGGACUAGAAACUU
Folsomia candida is the source of this 394-nucleotide long non-coding RNA. RefSeq lists it as uncharacterized. Lineage: Eukaryota; Metazoa; Arthropoda; Collembola; Entomobryomorpha; Isotomidae. The record is from RefSeq and is a predicted model, not a curated record. The transcript is spliced from 4 exons.